Molecule: ribosomal RNA, 468 nt
Filed under: uncultured bacterium
Lineage: Bacteria
Description: partial 16S ribosomal RNA
Rfam family: Bacterial small subunit ribosomal RNA
Source: RNAcentral
GACGAACGCUGGCGGCGUGCUUAACACAUGCAAGUCGAACGGAAAGGCCCUGCUUUUGUGGGGUGCUCGAGUGGCGAACGGGUGAGUAACACGUGAGUAACCUGCCCUUGACUUUGGGAUAACUUCAGGAAACUGGGGCUAAUACCGGAUAGGAGCUCCUGCUGCAUGGUGGGGGUUGGAAAGUUUCGGCGGUUGGGGAUGGACUCGCGGCUUAUCAGCUUGUUGGUGGGGUAGUGGCUUACCAAGGCUUUGACGGGUAGCCGGCCUGAGAGGGUGACCGGCCACAUUGGGACUGAGAUAGGGCGCAGACGCCUACGGGAGGCAGCAGUGGGGAAUAUUGCACAAUGGGCGGAAGCCGGAUGCAGCAACGCCGCGUGCGGGAUGACGGCCUUCGGGUUGUAAACCGCUUUCGCCUGUGACGAAGCGUGAGUGACGGUAAUGGGUAAAGAAGCACCGGCUAACUACGUG